UGUGAGCAGUCGGGAAGGCACACACAGUGGGAGCCAGUAAGGGCCCCUGUGCAUCUGCAGGAGCUGAGGACAGAAGGGGUGGGCCUCCACGGUGGGCAUGUAGGAGUGGGCACAGAGAAGGGCCACAGAUCUGAGACAGAGACAGACAGGACUUCUUACCCUGCUGAGCCCUGCAGGGAGCCACUUCGUCUUUCAGCCCUGAUUUUGUCAUCUGUAAGGAAAUUUCCUCUCUCCCAGGGUAAUCAUGUGAAGCCAAUGAAAUAAUAAAAAGGACCACAUCGGAUGACCCCUGAGGCAGGUCUGCUCCCCAAAAGUUUACUCUUGAAUGUUGACCAAGGUUGAGCUAGGCAAAGUGGUAAAUUCACACACACGGUAUGUAGCCCCUUCCCCAACCCCAGUCUCCAUUACCGGGGGCAUGCUGUGAACUAACUGCCUCCUUUUCCCCACACACCCACUUCCUGCCCAGUCUUUAUGCCUCCCGAUAUGACAUCCCGUUCCCUCUUAAUUAACUGUGCCUAUAGAGAAACAUCUAGAUAAACCAUGCAUUUAAUCUGUGAGGGGUCAAUCAUUUAAUCAUCGUUGACAAUAAUGCUCACUCCUCUGUGGUUUCAGAGGACUCCUGGAGUGGAUGGAGACACAUGCCACUAAUGUGGGAUGCAUUUCAGUCUGUCUUCCAGGCCUCGUUUGGAGGUCUCCCUCUCUUACCCACCUAUCACACAUCCAUGUCUUCCCUUCCCUCCCCAGAGCCAAACCUGUCCCCGACUUUUUAUUCUCACUAAAGUUCAAAUGACAGAAAUCAGCUAGAUUAGUACUUGCCUUAGUCCUGAAGGAAAGGGAAGUGCUCAUUAGCUUCUUAAAUUGGAACAGGUCUGCAGGUGAAAAUGAAGAUGUGCUCAUCUCUGGCAGGAAGGUUGGGAGUGAGGGGUAUAGUCAUAAUGAGCAGCGUUUAUUUGGUGUGUGCCUCUCACUUGCCACUUUCUACCCAGCUGCCUGAAUAUCACUCCAGUUAGUCUGAGCACAUGAAACACCUGCAACUCCCCAGACCCACCAUGCUUUUUCUUGACUCUCUGAAUGCACAGCAGUGCCUCCUCAGCUAAGAACACAGUUCCCCAUCACCAAGCUUUGCUUUGCCCAACAGACCCCUUCUCCCUUAGGAUGAGAUUCAGUGGAUAAUCACAUCAUAAUCACGACCCUCUGGGAAGCCGCCUCUCUCAUCCUGGGUUGUGUGUUGUGUGUUUCCUUUCCACACUCCCUCAGCAGCCUUUGCCUCCCACUUUCAUAGAAUCUACCAUAUGGGAUUUUAACUGUUUGUCUUCCACUAGACAAUAAGCUCCUUGAAGACUGAAUUUCCAGGAACUUCUGUUGGAUCUGCAUGUUUGUGAAGUGAAUUACUGAAGGCUGCCCAGUUUCAUCUGAUCCUAGUCAAAACCUAAAUCCCUUAUUUCUACGCUACCUUUUGCCAGCACCUGAAAAUGAUGCCAGGUUUCUGGAAUCCACGGCAGC
Molecule: long non-coding RNA, 1503 nt
Filed under: Homo sapiens (human)
Lineage: Eukaryota; Metazoa; Chordata; Mammalia; Primates; Hominidae
Description: HSALNT0300814
Source: RNAcentral